AACGCAUAUGGCACCCGAGACUUCGGUCGAGGGUAUGUCUGCCUCAGAGUCGGCGUAAAACAACUCCCCCGUUGGCGCACGGCGUCGACGGGGGGAACUGACCUUCCCGCGCCGAUGGUGCGGGUCGGUCGAAGGAGAGACACGGGUGUGGCUGGUUGGACGACGUUCCCGACCGACCGAGAUUUGUUGGAAGGACUCACGUCCGAACUCCGUCCCGGUACGAGGGUUACGUAUACCGACCUAGGCUCUCCCGCAAAGCAGGAAAAAGAGGUUCGGAGAGCGGCUCUGCCGCCCCCGACACCCCCUUGCAUCCGACCUGAGUUCAGGCAAGAUCACCCGCUGAACUUAA
This 349-nucleotide unclassified non-coding RNA is filed under the name uncultured fungus. RNAcentral's name for it is "partial contains 5.8S ribosomal RNA, internal transcribed spacer 2, and large subunit ribosomal RNA". Lineage: Eukaryota; Fungi. The record is from RNAcentral.